RNAcentral lists this long non-coding RNA (244 nucleotides) under Suricata suricatta (meerkat). RNAcentral describes it as "lncRNA (ENSSSUG00005004712.1)". The record is from RNAcentral. Lineage: Eukaryota; Metazoa; Chordata; Mammalia; Carnivora; Herpestidae.
AGGGGGCGGGACUGCAGCGGCCCCGCGGCCGGGAGGGGGAAGCGACGACUCGGGGACGCAGCUUCCGAAUGAGGACCAAGACUCACGAAGUCUUCAUUAUCUGCUGGAUCUUGUAAUUUUCUCCAGAAGGAGUUUGGAGGCAGAAGGAGAAAGCAGCUUGCAGAAUCUGAAUGAUCUGUGACCACUUGGGAUCAAAAUGAAAGACAAGAAGAAAACAAAUGAAACCCCUGAGGCUGAGAUGAAC